AGCUAUAGUAGUUCUCUAUGUGUCCAAUAAUUAUGUUGAUAAAGGUGGCAGUGGUAAUGACUUGAUAUGUCUGUGAGAUAUGAAUGCCAAAGUCUUCGUUUUACAUGACAUGAAUUUUUAUGUAAAAGUGGUGGUUUUUCAUAAAUUCUACAUGUCCUUGCAAAUGAUGACCUCUACAAAGUUGUUCCAGGAGUACCAUAUUGCCUGACAAUCUUUUGUUUUGACAAUGCUAUUUACUAUAGGCACUUUUGUGUCCGGAGCAAUAUCUUGGAAGUGCUUUGGCGGAUUUCAUUGAAACUUGGUAUGAGUAUAUAUAUGCAUAAGAGGAUGAUGCACGCCAAAUGGCAUUGUACACCAUCUGUUAAAAACAGAGUUAUGGCCCUUUGUAUCUUGAAAAAAUGCUUUUUACUAUAGGCACUUUUGUGGCCAGAGCCAUAUCUUGGAAGUGCUUUGGCGGAUUUCAUUGAAACUUGGUAUGAGUAUAUAUAUGCAUAAGAGGAUGAUGCACGCCAAAUGGCAUUGUAUACAAUCUGUUAAAAACAGAGUUAUGGCCCUUUGUAUCUUGAAAAAAAUGCUUUUUACUAUAGACACUUUUGUGUCCGGAGCCAUAUCUUGGAAGUGCAUUGGCGGAUUUGAUUGAAACUUGGUAUGAGUAUAUAUCCCGUGCCAGAGGCGGAGGGAUAUUGUUUUGGCGUUGUCCGGCUGUUCGUCCGGCUGUCCGGCUGUCUGUCACUUUUGUGUCCGGAGCCAUAUCUUGGAAGUGCUUUGGGGUAUUUUAUUGAAACUUUGUAUGAGUAUAUAUAUGGAUAAGAGGAUAAUGCACGCCAAAUGGCAUUGUACACCAUCUGUUAAUAACGGAGUUAUGGCCCUUUGUAUCUUGUUUAAUUGUUAACUUAAACUGUACUUGAUUCUAGCAUGCCACUAUACUUCUUUGAAGUAAUUUGAGCAAAUUUCUCACUGUUUAGUAAUGUAUACAUUGUUUAAGGUACAUUAUAAUUUCACAUUUUGUAGGUGGACUUCAAUAUGUAUGAUCUACUUAUGCUGCCACAAUGUAAAGGCAACAAUCACUGGGUUUUGCUGGUUGCAAGUGUUAUGUCCAGGACUGUAACCAUUUACGACUGGUUGGGUGGUAACAACAAGGCAUUGUUCGAUUUGUUCUGCCAGGUCAUGUGUCAACGAGCGCAAAUUGUGAAAGAUGGCUUGGAAAAAAUUCAGUUCAGAGUUCAAAGCCCCACCUUGCAACAAACAGCGCCAUGGAAACAGCUGUGGAGUGUUUGCAUUGAUGACUGCCAAAUGUUUGGUCAUGAAAAAGCAUCCCACAAUGUUGCGACAGGCCCAUGAUUCAGUUUAUCGAGACUAGUCGUGAGACGCAGACUUCUGAUUCAUGGAGUGCGGCAAACAUAUCUGUGCGACUCGAUCACUCCACUGUAAAGACCCGCACGGCAUUAAAAUGGAUAUUAUCAA
This is a long non-coding RNA of Dreissena polymorpha, 1464 nucleotides long. RefSeq lists it as uncharacterized. NCBI's taxonomy places the organism in Eukaryota, Metazoa, Mollusca, Bivalvia, Myida, Dreissenidae. The record is from RefSeq and is a predicted model, not a curated record. The transcript has 3 exons.